RNAcentral lists this ribosomal RNA (375 nucleotides) under uncultured bacterium. Its description in RNAcentral is "bacterial SSU rRNA". It matches the Rfam family "Bacterial small subunit ribosomal RNA", at positions 527 to 898 of the family's 1533-position model. The record is from RNAcentral.
GUAGGGGGCGAGCGUUGUCCGGAUUUAUUGGGCGUAAAGCGCGCGUAGGCGGCCCGGAAAGUCGGAUGUGAAAACCCGGGGCUCAACCCCGGGCCUGCAUCCGAUACUCCCGGGCUGGAGGCAGGUAGGGGAGAUCGGAAUUCCUGGUGUAGCGGUGAAAUGCGCAGAUAUCAGGAGGAACACCGGUGGCGAAGGCGGAUCUCUGGGCCUGUCCUGACGCUGAGGCGCGAAAGCUAGGGGAGCGAACAGGAUUAGAUACCCUGGUAGUCCUAGCCGUAAACGUUGGGUGCUAGGUGUGGGGCGGCGAUUGACCCGCUCCGUGCCGUAGCUAACGCAUUAAGCACCCCGCCUGGGGAGUACGGCCGCAAGGUUAAA